GCCUGGACUGCGCGUGCGCGGAAGCUGCCCCGUUCGCCCGCCCCAACGCCGCGGCGGAAGGGUAGGAUGUGUGCUUUCUGCUGCAGUGCGCUGGGAGCUCGGCUACCAUAUCGAAGCACCAUGGACUGGGUGGCCCAAACAACAGAAAUGUGUUUUCCCACAGUGCUAGAGACUAGAUGUCCCAGAUUGAGGUGUUGGCAGGAAGAUCCUAUCAUCUGAGAAACGCAGACCGACACUGGCUCAGGAAGGCUUUGAAGGUCAGAGGCAAACCAACAGCCUUUCAUGAUGCAGCCCCGUUGGACCUCAACUUGACUGAUGAUCUGUCAAACCCAGUAGAGCGCUGUGCGAGGCUGGCUCACAUCCCACUGGACGUAUCACCUAGGGAUGCGCUGGAGAAGCCACUUUCUGGAAGCAGGAGAUGCAUACAGGACCAGCAAUCAGGGCCAGAGGGGGCCCGUGGUUGUAAAAAUGAACACUGAGAUUUUGAGGGGAAAAAAAAAGAAGGGGGGGGACCAGUGCAAGAGAAAAGACCACAGGUGGUGGGGUGUGGAAGAAAGGUGUUUGAAAAGAGAGCACUUAAGGGCAUGAUGAUGUCAGAGAGCUGGGGCAGCAGAAAUAUGCAAGAGGAGUCCCCUGGGAGAAAGGGCUCCCCUCUGCUUGUCACCUUAUGCCACUCACCCUGUGGUCACCUUGUCACUUCCCACCAAACAUGCUGUCUUCUUGUGCUCUA
Long non-coding RNA from Manis pentadactyla (Chinese pangolin), 730 nucleotides. RefSeq lists it as uncharacterized. The transcript has 3 exons. NCBI's taxonomy places the organism in Eukaryota, Metazoa, Chordata, Mammalia, Pholidota, Manidae. The record is from RefSeq and is a predicted model, not a curated record.